CCUACGGGAGGCAGCAGUGAGGAAUAUUGGUCAAUGGGCGCGAGCCUGAACCAGCCAAGUCGCGUGAGGGAAGACUGCCCUAUGGGUUGUAAACCUCUUUUGCCGGGGAGCAACGCGCGCUACGUGUAGCCGCACUGAGAGUACCCGGAGAAAAAGCAUCGGCUAACUCCGUGCCAGCAGCCGCGGUAAUACGGAGGAUGCGAGCGUUAUCCGGAUUUAUUGGGUUUAAAGGGUGCGUAGGCGGAAUGCCAAGUCAGCGGUAAAAUCGCGGGGCUCAACCUCUCUCCGCCGUUGAAACUGGCGCUCUUGAGUGGGAGAGAAGUAUGCGGAAUGCGUGGUGUAGCGGUGAAAUGCAUAGAUAUCACGCAGAACCCCGAUUGCGAAGGCAGCAUACCGGCGUCCAACUGACGCUGAAGCACGAAAGCGUGGGGAUCGAACAGGAUUAGAUACCCGAGUAGUC
Molecule: ribosomal RNA, 460 nt
Filed under: uncultured bacterium
Lineage: Bacteria
Description: partial 16S ribosomal RNA
Rfam family: Bacterial small subunit ribosomal RNA
Source: RNAcentral